AUACGUAGGGUGCGAGCGUUAAUCGGAAUUACUGGGCGUAAAGCGUGCGCAGGCGGUUUUGUAAGACAGUGGUGAAAUCCCCGGGCUCAACCUGGGAACUGCCAUUGUGACUGCAAGGCUGGAGUGCGGCAGAGGGGGAUGGAAUUCCGCGUGUAGCAGUGAAAUGCGUAGAUAUGCGGAGGAACACCGAUGGCGAAGGCAAUCCCCGGGGCCUGCACUGACGCUCAUGCACGAAAGCGUGGGGAGCAAACAGGAUUAGAUACCCUGGUAGUCCACGCCCUAAACGAUGUCAACUGGUUGUUGGGAAUUUAUUUUCUCAGUAACGAAGCUAACGCGUGAAGUUGACCGCCUGGGGAGUACGGCCGCAAGGUUAAAACUCAAAGGAAUUGACGGGG
This 395-nucleotide ribosomal RNA is filed under the name uncultured bacterium. RNAcentral's name for it is "partial 16S ribosomal RNA". It matches the Rfam family "Bacterial small subunit ribosomal RNA", at positions 523 to 918 of the family's 1533-position model. The record is from RNAcentral.